RNAcentral lists this long non-coding RNA (230 nucleotides) under Actinidia chinensis (golden kiwifruit). RNAcentral's name for it is "long non-coding RNA (ACHI_LNC000076)". Lineage: Eukaryota; Viridiplantae; Streptophyta; Magnoliopsida; Ericales; Actinidiaceae. The record is from RNAcentral.
GUUAGUAUUUGAUUCAGCAAUUGGGCGAUGGAAAGCGAUGGAUGAAUAUAUAAAGGUAUGUGUAUGCGUGAUGGCGUUCUCUCUUUGACGCUUUGGAACAUCCUCAUCUUCCCCAAUCAGCCAAUCUCUCUAUCAGGGCUUUUCCAUUUCUAGCAACAGACAAUCUCUCCACUAAUAAUGGAAAUGGGAGCCUAUGCCAAUGAACGGCCUUGAUUGUGGGAAGAUGGGUU